AGAGUUUGUUCCUGGCUCAGGAUGAACGCUAGCGACAGGCUUAACACAUGCAAGUCGAGGGGCAGCGGGGUUGUAGCAAUACAACUGCCGGCGACCGGCGCACGGGUGAGUAACACGUAUGUAACCUGCCCUCUGCAGGGGGAUAAGCGGAAGAAAUUCCGUCUAAUACCGCAUAAUACAAUUUGGAGACAUCUCCGGGUUGUCAAAGGAGUGAUCCGGCAGAGGAUGGACAUGCGGCGCAUUAGCUAGUCGGCGGGGUAACGGCCCACCGAGGCUACGAUGCGUAGGGGUUCUGAGAGGAAGGUCCCCCACACUGGUACUGAGACACGGACCAGACUCCUACGGGAGGCAGCAGUGAGGAAUAUUGGUCAAUGGGCGGAAGCCUGAACCAGCCAAGUCGCGUGAGGGAAGACGGUCCUAUGGAUUGUAAACCUCUUUUGCAGGGGAGCAAGGCGCGGUACGUGUACCGCGAAGGAGAGUACCCUGAGAAAAAGCAUCGGCUAACUCCGUGCCAGCAGCCGCGGUAAUACGGAGGAUGCGAGCGUUAUCCGGAUUUAUUGGGUUUAAAGGGUGCGCAGGCGGACUGUUAAGUCAGCGGUAAAAUGUCGGUGCUCAACACCGGCCGGCCGUUGAAACUGACAGCCUUGAGUGAGCGAGAAGUAUUCCGGAAUGCGUGGUGUAGCGGUGAAAAGCAUAGAUUUCACGCAGAACUCCGGAUGGGGAAGGCAGCAUACCGGCGCUCAAAUGACGGUCAGGGCAAGAAAGCGUGGGUAUCGAACAGGAUUAGAUACCCUGGUAGUCCACGCAGUAAACGAAUGAAUGCUCACUGUCCGGGCCGAUUAAGGCAUGGGUGGUCAAGCGAAAGCGUUAAGCAUUCCACCUGGGGAGUACGCCGGCAACGGUGAAACUCAAAGGAAUUGACGGGGGCCCGCACAAGCGGAGGAACAUGUGGUUUAAUUCGAUGAUACGCGAGGAACCUUACCCGGGCUCAAACGGAAGGGGACAGUAUGAGAAAUCAUACAUUCCUUCGGGACCGCUUCCGAGGUGCUGCAUGGUUGUCGUCAGCUCGUGCCGUGAGGUGUCGGCUUAAGUGCCAUAACGAGCGCAACCCCUAUCGACAGUUGCUAGCAGGUAAAGCUGAGGACUCUGUCGAGACUGCCGGCGCAAGCUGUGAGGAAGGCGGGGAUGACGUCAAAUCAGCACGGCCCUUACGUCCGGGGCGACACACGUGUUACAAUGGCAGGUACAGCGGGAAGCCACCCGGCGACGGGGCGCAGAACCCGAAAACCUGUCUCAGUUCGGAUUGGAGUCUGCAACCCGACUCCAUGAAGCUGGAUUCGCUAGUAAUCGCGCAUCAGCCACGGCGCGGUGAAUACGAAGCCGGGCCUUGUACACACCGCCCGUCA
Molecule: ribosomal RNA, 1406 nt
Filed under: uncultured bacterium
Lineage: Bacteria
Description: 16S ribosomal RNA
Rfam family: Bacterial small subunit ribosomal RNA
Source: RNAcentral